UCUCCCAACAGGUCAAAUCUCCUCCAGCCCAGAACAUGAAGUUUGCAGAAAGUCUGAAGCAUGUGGCUGAAAAACUCUGUCAUGAGCUCUGCAACAAAGCUGGAGUACACAGGUGCAACCUAUGUCCAGAAAAAUAGGUGUAUGGGGACAAAUGCUACCAGUUCUAUAAAGAUAGCAAAAGUUGGCCGGGAGCGGUGGCUCAUGCCUGUAAUCCCAGUACUUUGGGAGGCUGAGGCAGGCAGAUCACGAGGUCAAGAGAUCGAGACCAUUCUGGCCAACAUGAUGAAACCCCGUCUGUACUAAAAAUACAAAAAUUAGCUGGGUGUGGUAGCGCAUGCCUGUAGUCCCAGCUACUUGGGAGCCUAAGGCAGGAGAAUUGCUUGAACCUGGGAGGCCGAGGUUGCAGUGAGCAGAGAUCGUGCCACUGCACUCCAGCCUGGCGACAGAGUGACACUCCGUCUCAAAAAAAAAAAAAAAAAAAAGACAGUGAAAGUUGGCAAAAAUGUAAAUAUAUCUGCAUUGCUAAGAACUCUACCAUCCAAAGAUAAACACACAAGAAAUGCUGGAGUUUGCUGUGUCUCAAAGCUACUCUGAGUUUUUCUACUCUUAUCAGACAGGGCUCUUCCACCCGGGCAAUGGCAAGGCCUGGCUAUGGAAGGACGGAACUCCUUACUCUUCUGAACUCUUUGAUAUUAUAAUAGAUGGCACUACCCUAAGAAGCAGAGGCUGUGUGACCAUCCUCCAUGGAAAGGCUUUCUCAAAGAACUGCUGAGAGUUGAGGUGGUAUGUGUGUGAGAGGAGGGUGGCAAUGGUGAAGCCGGAGACCCUCCAUUAGCCUCCCUGAACCAUUAGGUGAAGGUGA
This 862-nucleotide long non-coding RNA is filed under the name Homo sapiens (human). RNAcentral's name for it is "non-protein coding lnc-FARSB-5:1". The record is from RNAcentral. Lineage: Eukaryota; Metazoa; Chordata; Mammalia; Primates; Hominidae.